RNAcentral lists this ribosomal RNA (391 nucleotides) under uncultured bacterium. Its description in RNAcentral is "bacterial SSU rRNA". It matches the Rfam family "Bacterial small subunit ribosomal RNA", at positions 29 to 424 of the family's 1533-position model. The record is from RNAcentral.
AUUGAACGCUGGCGGCAUGCCUUACACAUGCAAGUCGAGCGGCAGCGCGGGGGCAACCCUGGCGGCGAGCGGCGAACGGGUGAGUAAUGCAUCGGAACGUGUCCUUUUGUGGGGGAUAACCAGUCGAAAGACUGGCUAAUACCGCAUGAGCUCGAGAGAGGAAAGCAGGGGACCGCAAGGCCUUGCGCGAGAGGAGCGGCCGAUGCCCGAUUAGCUAGNGGUGAGGUAACGGCUCACCAAGGCGACGAUCGGUAGCUGGUUUGAGAGAACGACCAGCCACACUGGGACUGAGACACGGCCCAGACUCCUACGGGAGGCAGCAGUGGGGAAUUUUGGACAAUGGGGGCAACCCUGAUCCAGCCAUGCCGCGUGUGUGAAGAAGGCCUCGGUU